Molecule: non-coding RNA, 71 nt
Organism: Pangasianodon gigas (Mekong giant catfish)
Lineage: Eukaryota; Metazoa; Chordata; Actinopteri; Siluriformes; Pangasiidae
Source: the annotation of a GenBank genome assembly
UGUGGUAGUUUAGUGAUUAAGACUUUGGGCUUCUGAUCAGAAGGUUGUGGGUUCAAAUCCCAGCACCACCA